AGCUGGUCCGAGUGCAGUCACAACCAGUUACAGAUUUCUUUGUUCCUUCUCCACUCCCACGGCUUCACUUGACUAGCCUUAA
Molecule: Y RNA, 82 nt
Organism: Macaca fascicularis (crab-eating macaque)
Lineage: Eukaryota; Metazoa; Chordata; Mammalia; Primates; Cercopithecidae
Rfam family: Y RNA
About the family: Y RNAs are components of the Ro ribonucleoprotein particle (Ro RNP), in association with Ro60 and La proteins. The Y RNAs and Ro60 and La proteins are well conserved, but the function of the Ro RNP is not known. In humans the RNA component can be one of four small RNAs -- hY1, hY3, hY4 and hY5.
Source: Ensembl